RNAcentral lists this ribosomal RNA (450 nucleotides) under uncultured Glomus. Its description in RNAcentral is "SSU rRNA". It matches the Rfam family "Eukaryotic small subunit ribosomal RNA", at positions 569 to 1023 of the family's 1831-position model. The record is from RNAcentral. Lineage: Eukaryota; Fungi; Glomeromycota; Glomeromycetes; Glomerales; Glomeraceae.
AGCAGCCGCGGUAAUUCCAGCUCCAAUAGCGUAUAUUAAAGUUGUUGCAGUUAAAAAGCUCGUAGUUGAAUUUCGGGAUCAAUAUGUCGGUCGUGCCUUCGGUACGUACUGGUAUCAUUGGUCUCUCCUUUCUGACGAACCAUGAUGUCAUUAAUUUGGUGUUAUGGGGAGUUAGGACUGUUACUUUGAAUAAAUUAGAGUGUUUAAAGCAGGCUUUAGCUUGAAUACAUUAGCAUGGAAUAAUGAAAUAGGACGUUCGAACCUAUUUUGUUGGUUUCUAGGAUCAACGUAAUGAUUAAUAGGGAUAGUUGGGGGCAUUAGUAUUCAAUUGUCAGAGGUGAAAUUCUUGGAUUUAUUGAAGACUAACUACUGCGAAAGCAUUUGCCAAGGAUGUUUUCAUUAAUCAAGAACGAAAGUUAGGGGAUCGAAGACGAUCAGAUACCGUCGUAG